GACGAACGCUGGCGGCGUGCUUAACACAUGCAAGUCGAACGAUGAUCCGGUGCUUGCACCGGGGAUUAGUGGCGAACGGGUGAGUAACACGUGAGUAACCUGCCCUUGACUCUGGGAUAAGCCUGGGAAACCGGGUCUAAUACCGGAUACGACCUUUCACCGCAUGGUGGUUGGUGGAAAGAUUUUUUGGUUUUGGAUGGACUCGCGGCCUAUCAGCUUGUUGGUGAGGUAAUGGCUCACCAAGGCGACGACGGGUAGCCGGCCUGAGAGGGUGACCGGCCACACUGGGACUGAGACACGGCCCAGACUCCUACGGGAGGCAGCAGUGGGGAAUAUUGCACAAUGGGCGAAAGCCUGAUGCAGCGACGCCGCGUGAGGGAUGACGGCCUUCGGGUUGUAAACCUCUUUCAGCAGGGAAGAAGCGAAAGUGACGGUACCUGCAGAAGAAGCGCCGGCUAACUACGUGCCAGCAGCCGCGGUAAUACGUAGGGCGCAAGCGUUGUCCGGAAUUAUUGGGCGUAAAGAGCUCGUAGGCGGUUUGUCGCGUCUGCUGUGAAAGCCCGGGGCUCAACCCCGGGUCUGCAGUGGGUACGGGCAGACUAGAGUGCAGUAGGGGAGACUGGAAUUCCUGGUGUAGCGGUGAAAAUGCGCAGAUAUCAGGAGGAACACCGAUGGCGAAGGCAGGUCUCUGGGCUGUAACUGACGCUGAGGAGCGAAAGCAUGGGGAGCGAACAGGAUUAGAUACCCUGGUAGUCCAUGCCGUAAACGUUGGGCACUAGGUGUGGGGGACAUUCCACGUUUUCCGCGCCGUAGCUAACGCAUUAAGUGCCCCGCCUGGGGAGUACGGCCGCAAGGCUAAAACUCAAAGGAAUUGACGGGGGCCCGCACAAGCGGCGGAGCAUGCGGAUUAAUUCGAUGCAACGCGAAGAACCUUACCAAGGCUUGACAUGGACCGGACCGCCGCAGAAAUGCGGUUUCCCUUCGGGGCUGGUUUACAGGUGGUGCAUGGUUGUCGUCAGCUCGUGUCGUGAGAUGUUGGGUUAAGUCCCGCAACGAGCGCAACCCUCGUUCUAUGUUGCCAGCGCGUUAUGGCGGGGACUCAUAGGAGACUGCCGGGGUCAACUCGGAGGAAGGUGGGGACGACGUCAAAUCAUCAUGCCCCUUAUGUCUUGGGCUUCACGCAUGCUACAAUGGCCGGUACAAAGGGUUGCGAUACUGUGAGGUGGAGCUAAUCCCAAAAAGCCGGUCUCAGUUCGGAUUGAGGUCUGCAACUCGACCUCAUGAAGUCGGAGUCGCUAGUAAUCGCAGAUCAGCAACGCUGCGGUGAAUACGUUCCCGGGCCUUGUACACACCGCCCGUCAAGUCACGAAAGUUGGUAACACCCGAAGCCGGUGGCCUAACCCCUUGUGGGAGGGAGCCGUCGAAGGUGGGACCGGCGAUUGGG
This 1444-nucleotide ribosomal RNA is filed under the name Arthrobacter sp. ITCr03. RNAcentral describes it as "16S ribosomal RNA". It matches the Rfam family "Bacterial small subunit ribosomal RNA". The record is from RNAcentral. Lineage: Bacteria; Bacillati; Actinomycetota; Actinomycetes; Micrococcales; Micrococcaceae.